AAGGGGAGGAGGCAGACAAAACAUUCCCUGGUUCUCCAGGUUGGGGCUCACUCACCCCCCACUUAACAAAUAAUUUGUUACAGAAACCUUCACGGGCCUUAUGUUCCUCCAGGAAGUGAGUGCAACUACUCAACGUUGGAGAUACGUUGUUCAUUUAUAGAUUUAUUGUAUUUCAGAGGAAACAAAUGAGAACAUGGAUGGUCCCCAGGCACUACAGAGAACAAUUGAAGUCCUUUUUCUUAGCAUCAAACAGACAGAUGGAUGCAAGAAAAGACACCCUCUGCGCAGAAAGAUAUUGGAAGAAAAGGCCAAAUUGGCAGCUGCCAUAGAGGAGUACAACACCCUUGUACCAGAUUUAGCAAUACCAUCUGCAGAUGAGAUCCUUUCCGCAGACCUUCAUGCAUGGCCUUGGGAGCUGCAUGGACAAAGACCUGAGCCCUAGGACCAUGCCCCAGGACUACCUGACAUGAUGACUCCUUGCUGUCCCCAGUCCACCUGGCCGUGCUGCUGCUCCAGUUUCAACUGUUCUGCCUUAUUAUUAUUCGACCAUGCUGGUCAUUUAUGAACAUUUUAACAUCUUGGCCAUGUUCUGUUAUAAUCUCCACCCGGCACAGCCAGAGGAGGACUGGCCACCCCACAUAGCCUGGUUCCUCUCUAGGUUUCUUCCUAGGUUUUGGCCUUUCUAGGGAGUUUUUCCUAGCCACCGUGCUUCUACACCUGCAUUGCUUGCUGUUUGGGGUUUUAGGCUGGGUUUCUGUACAGCACUUUGAGAUAUCAGCUGAUGUACGAAGGGCUAUAUAAAUAAAUUUGAUUUGAUUUGAUGAUCUUCAUCAGAUGACACUCAUAGGACUUCAUUGUUACACGAUACAUAUACACUGCUCAAAAAAAUAAAGGGAACACUUAAACAACACAAUGUAACUCCAAGUCAAUCACACUUCUGUGAAAUCAAACUGUCCACUUAGGAAGCAACACUGAUUGACAAUAAAUUCCACAUGCUUUUUGUGCAAAUGGAAUAGACAACAGGUGGAAAUUAUAGGCAAUUAGCAAGACACCCCCAAUAAAGGAGUGGUUCUGCAGGUCAUAACCACAGACCACUUCUCAGUUCCUAUGCUUCCUGGCUGAUGUUUUGGUCACUUUUGAAUGCUGGCGGUGCUUUCACUCUAGUGGUAGCAUGAGACGGAGUCUACAACCCACACAAGUGGCUCAGGUAGUGCAGCUCAUCCAGGAUGGAAAAUCAAUGUGAGCUGUGGCAAGAAGGUUUGCUGUGUCUGUCAGCGUAGUGUCCAGAGCAUGGAGGCACUACCAGGAGACAAGCCAGUACAUCAGGCGACGUGGAGGAGGCCGUAGGAGGGCAACAACUCAGCAGCAGGACUGCUACCUCCGCCUUUGUGCAGGCCACAAAUGUGCAUGUGUCUGCUCAAACGGCCUGAAGCAGACUCCAUGAUGGUGGUAUGAGGGCCCGAUGUCCACAGGUGGGGGUUGUGCUUACAGCCCAACACCGUGCAGGAUGUUUGGCAUUUGCCAGAGAACACCAAGAUUGGCAAAUUCGCCACUGGUGCCCUGUGCUCUUCACAGAUGAAAGCAGAUUCACACUGAGCACGUGACAGACGUGACCGUGGAGAACGUUCUGCAUGACCGGUUUGGCGGUGGGUCAGUCAUGGUGUGGGGUGGCAUUUCUUUGGGGGGCCGCACAGCCCUCCAUGUUCUCGCCAGAGGUAGCCUGACUGCCAUUAGGUACCGAGAUGAGAUCCUCAGACCCCUUGUGAGACCAUAUUAUGGUGCGGUUGGCCCUGAUUCCUCCUAAUGCAAGACAAUGCUAGACCUCAUGUGGCUGGAGUGUGUCAGCAGUUCCUGCAAGAGGAAGGCAUUGAUGCUAUGGACUGGCCCGCCCGUUCCCCAGACCUGAAUCCAAUUGAGCACAUAUGGGACAUCAUGUCUCGCUCCAUCCACAGACUGUCCAGGAGUUGGCGGAUGCUUAAGUCCAGGUCUGGGAGGAGAUCCCUCAGGAGACCACCCGCCACCUCAUCAGGAGCAUGCCUAGGUGUUGUAGGGAGGUCAUACAGGCACCUGGAGGCCACACACACUACUGAGCCUCAUUUUGACUUGUUUUAAGGACAUUACAUCAAAGUUGGAUCAGCCUGUAGUGUGGUUUUCCACUUUAAUUUUGAGUGUGACUCCAAAUCCAGACCUCCAUGGGGUUGCUAAAUUUGAUUUCCAUUGAUAAUUUGUGUGAUUUUGUUGUCAGCACAUUCAAAUAUGUAAAGAAAAAAGUACUUAAUAAGAAUAUUUCAUUCAUUCAGAUCUAGGAUGUGUUAUUUUAGUGUUCCCUUUAUUUUUUCGAGCAGUGUAUGUUUUGUUCGAUAAAGUUCAUAUUUAUAUUUUAAAAAAUCUCAGUAUACAUUGGCGCGUUUAUGUUCAGUAGUUCCAAAAACAUCCGGUGAUUUUGCAGAGAGCCACAUCAAUUUUACAGAAAUACUCAUUAUAAAUGUUGAUGAAAAUACAAGUGUUAUGCAUGGAACUAGAUACACUUCUCCUUAAAUAACCUCUUGCGACGAGCAAACCCGUAUCCGGGAGCGUAAUCAUAGCCUCAAGUGCAUUACCAUAACGCAACUUUUCCUAAUCAUGAAAAUCGCAAAUGAAAUGAAAUAAAUAUAUUCAAACACAAGCUUAGCCUUUUGUUAACAACACUGUCAUCUCAGAUCUUCAAAAUAUGCAUUACAACCAACGCUAGACAAGGAGACUCCCAGUCAGAUAGAAAAUGUUCCUUUUUUCAAAAAAUAAUAUUUUUGUCGGCGAAAAAGGUCCCGUUUGUUCAUCCUGCUUGGCUGAGAAAUCGACCGAAAAAUACUUCAAAUAUAACGCCGAACUCUUUUCAAAAUUUGCUCCAUAAUAUCGACAGAAACAUGGCAAACGUUAUUUAGGAUCCAUCCUCAAGGUGUUUUUAACAUAUAUAUUCGAUAAUAUAUCCGUCGAGGCAAUUGGUUUCUCAUAAGAAGCGAUUGGAAAAAUGGCUACCGCGAGAUUUUCUCCGGGAGACACCAUGUGACCACUGGCUAAAUAUGGUCCCUUACAGCUAUUGUCCAAUGGAAAUGCCUAAAAAUAUGUCACAAUGCUGUAGACACCUUGGGGAAUGCGUGGAAAACGUAAGCUCAUUCAUAGCUCAUUCACAGCCAUAUGAGGAGUCAUUGGCAUGAGGCGGUUUCAAAAAAUGCGGCACUUCCUGAUUGGAUUUUUAUCUGGGUUUCGCCUGUAACAUCAGUUCUGUGGCACUCACAGACAAUAUGUUUGCAGUUUUGGAAACGCCAGAGUGUCUUCUUUCCAAAGCUGUCAAUUAUAUGCAUAGUCGAGCAUCUUUUCGUGACAAAAUAUCUUGUUUAAAACGGGAACGUUUUUCAUCCAAAAAUGAAAUACUGCCCCCAGAGUUUCAAGAGGUUGAUGCAACCGCUGUGUCAGAUUUCAGAAAAGCUUUACGAAAAAGCCAACCAUGCUAUAAUCUGAGUACAGCGCUCAGAGACUGUAAGGAAUAUCAUGAUUAAAUGACUGAAGAAUAUUCUCAUAUUAAAUGGAACUGUAACUAAGUAAACUUAUACUCAGUUUUAUUAUAUCUGAUUAACAAUAUGUGUUCAUAAGAAGGGAUUGUGUGACACGGACAAGGAGUAAUUAAAGUGAAUGAACACCAUUCCAACUAGUCAGAAAGGAAUGACUUGUGGAUUAAAGUAAGCAGAUAAGGUAGUUAACCUAUGGUUGAACCAACGAAACUUAGCUCUGGGGUGUUUUAGAUAAGACAGUGAGUGCAUUCCUAGGUUUUCUGUUAAUUAGAACUGUCAGCUAAGUGGUGAUCGGUAAUGGUGAGGAGUCAAAAGUUAAUUCAGAUGUGUUGUGUGUCCUGUGUAUGUGCUAGUGGGUCAGAAUGAACUUUGAAUGAACUUUUAAAGUUCCCUUUGUCUCGGUCGAGAGGAGGAGAUUAAUUUUAAAAGCAAUGAAAUGACGUCAUGUUAUUGUAUAUAAACUGUUGCUCGUGGUAACGUGGCAGCGCUCUCCGAGAAUAAAUACUUUUAUCUAUUAUCGAUAA
Molecule: long non-coding RNA, 4072 nt
Organism: Oncorhynchus nerka (sockeye salmon)
Lineage: Eukaryota; Metazoa; Chordata; Actinopteri; Salmoniformes; Salmonidae
Exons: 3
Source: RefSeq, a predicted model, not a curated record